ACUGGGCUGGGUCACCGCUUGGAGACCGCUGUCGCCGCCACCCCCACCCCCAGGACCCCUCCCUCCACACCCAUUUGCCCACCCCCUCACGCGCGCACCCAGGAUUCAGGCAGGACACGCCUUCCGCUCCUGCUCGGCUCCGAGCGCGGGCUCCACGGUCGGGCCCAGCUCCCUCCGGCCCGCGGGGUGUGGCCGCCCACCUGCCAGCAGGGAGUCUCUGCCCGGCUGGGCCGCCCCCGCCGCCGCCGCCACCCACCGCCCGGGCCAGGUGCCGGACUCCCGGCGACGGCAGCUCCCGGGCCGCCGCCCCCACCCCUUCCUCCCGACAGUGCGGAGACAAAGCCGCGCACACGCACACGGGGGCUACGCGGGUGCACACCCGCGCUCACACGCGCACACACGGGAACCACACUGGCGCGCACACGGCGACACACACUCACACCUCCCACCCCUGGCUCCAGCCGCAAGCGAAGCCACGGGCACACCCUCGGUCGCACGCACACACUCUCGGCUACACACUGGGACACACCCUCUCACAGACACACUCGCGGAGGACACCCGCAAGCACACACGCCCUCACCAGAGGUGCUCAGGCCACCCGCGGGGCGCACACUCGGCGCACACGCGCGCGCGCGCCCCGAGCAUCCCCUUGCACCGAUCCCGAGCACAAGCGCGCUCACACCCACACGCCCGGAACCCUGGGCCCCGACGCACGUUCCCGCGCCAGCUCCGAAGCGCUCGAACCGAGCCGGAGGCUCCGGACCCUGGCGCCCGCCCCCCGGAGCCCGCCUGCCGGCUGUCAGUGCUCGCGAGUCGGGGACAGCGCCCGCAGCGCCCGGCGAUCACCCCCCCCCCAACACACACGCGAGCUCGGACGUGGAGGCGGCCCCGGGGCCAGCGCCCGGUGCCGGGCGGGCUCAUCUGGUGGCCGCAGCUCUGCUUCCUGACGCUGAUGUCCCUCGGUCUCCGCGUCCGGCGGCCGCCCCGGACGAGCUCCGAGGCGCACUGGAGCUGCGCAGAAAUGCCCCGCUCGCUGGCUCACUCGCUCGCUCCUUCCCUCCCUCCCACGGCGCUCAGCCCCCUCCCCGCCCGCCCCCACGCCCCCUCUCCCCCUCCGCCCCGCCCCGGCCGGCUGCCCCGGAGGAGGCGGCGGCGGCGGCGAUCCCGGCAGCCCAGGCAGCAGUCGCCGGCGGACUAGCGAGCGCCGCGGCCAGUCGGCGGCGGCCGGAGUCACGCCAGAGCCGGAGCCCAGGCCCGGGCCGCGCGUCGGGAGGAGCCGCGCCGGCCCCGGGGAGGGGAGCAGAGGAGGGGGUUGCGCCCAGCGAGCCCGCCCGCCGCCGGGGUCCGCCGCCCGCCUCCGCACGUGGGCCCGGCGCCUACCUGAGCCGCGGCGGAGCUCAGAGGCCCGGCGCCAGCGGCGGGGCGAGGCGGAGCAGGAGACCCCCGCCGGGGCCUCGUGGCCCUCUCAGUCCCAGCCGGGUGGGCUCGGGCCCCGCCCCCGCCUCCUCCCGGGUCCCUGCCAGCGCCGACCUCGGCUUUCUCUGA
RNAcentral lists this long non-coding RNA (1545 nucleotides) under Oryctolagus cuniculus (rabbit). RNAcentral describes it as "lncRNA (ENSOCUG00000038111.1)". Lineage: Eukaryota; Metazoa; Chordata; Mammalia; Lagomorpha; Leporidae. The record is from RNAcentral.